GCCGAGAUAGCUCAGUCGGUAGAGCAUUGGAUUGAAAAUCCAAGUGUCACCAGUUCAACUCUGGUUCUCGGCA
This 73-nucleotide transfer RNA is filed under the name Gormaniella terricola. Its description in RNAcentral is "tRNA-Thr". It matches the Rfam family "tRNA". From Rfam's summary of the family: Transfer RNA (tRNA) molecules are approximately 80 nucleotides in length. Their secondary structure includes four short double-helical elements and three loops (D, anti-codon, and T loops). Further hydrogen bonds mediate the characteristic L-shaped molecular structure. tRNAs have two regions of fundamental functional importance: the anti-codon, which is responsible for specific mRNA codon recognition, and the 3' end, to which the tRNAs corresponding amino acid is attached (by aminoacyl-tRNA synthetases). tRNAs cope with the degeneracy of the genetic code in two manners: having more than one tRNA (with a specific anti-codon) for a particular amino acid; and 'wobble' base-pairing, i.e. permitting non-standard base-pairing at the 3rd anti-codon position. The record is from RNAcentral. Lineage: Eukaryota; Viridiplantae; Chlorophyta; Chlorophyceae; Chaetopeltidales; Chaetopeltidaceae.